Molecule: RNA transcript, 1011 nt
Organism: Glossina fuscipes
Lineage: Eukaryota; Metazoa; Arthropoda; Insecta; Diptera; Glossinidae
Gene name: pheromone-binding protein-related protein 6-like
Exons: 7
Source: RefSeq, a predicted model, not a curated record
ACAUCAAAGUGACAAUCAACAAUUAUCCAUAUCACGUCACACGUUCUGUUCGAUACCAACAUAGUUGCAGAGACAUAACAAUAAAUGCAUAUAAAUACUUUUUAAAAGCAAUAGUAAUCACGUACAAAUUGAGCAAGAACUGCUGCGGAAGAGUGCUUGCUUCAUUCAAUAUUUGACGAAAGCAACAAAGGAAUAUUAAAAUUAAUAUUAAAAAAAAAAAAGAGAACAAUAGUAGAGCAGAAAACGUAAUCAAAAUGAAAAAGUAUAUCAUUACGUUCGCCAUAACGUUGUUAUUGUCGUUCGGUUUGAACAACGCACAGAAGCCACGACGCGAUGAAAAUUAUCCUCCGCCGGAUUUCUUAAAAUUCUUCAAAAUUAUUCAUGAAGUUUGUGUAGAAAAAACCGGAGCUACAGAGGAGGCCAUUAAGGAAUUUAGCGAUGGUGAAAUUCAUGAAGAUCCAGCUCUUAAAUGUUACAUGAAUUGUCUAUUUCAUGAAGUGGAUGUUGUCGACGAUGCUGGCGAACUGCAUUUCGAGAAAUUAGUACGUAUGAUACCGGAACCGUACCUUAAAAUGUUUCAACACAUUCUCGAUGCUUGUGUAUCUCAUAUACCGAAGGGUGAGACACAAUGCGAUCGCGCUUGGUCGUGGCAUGUUUGUUUCAAACAAACCGAUCCAGUGCUUUACUUUUUGCCGUAAAAACAUAAACUCGGACUUUCUCAAAUUUCAAGUGUACAUCCAUGCACGCGCUAUUACUUACUUACACUAUAAGGGCCAAGCAUUGGAGGUUAAAUCAUAGAACGAACCAUUUUUUUCAAAUAAUCAAAGCGAAAAAUUUUCUAGGAGCAAUGCACGAGCAAUGAUUGAACCCUGCUAGCAAUCGUUCUAUUGAUGAACUACAGAGAUAACCAUAAUCAUCUAGAAUCGACCAUGAAACAUGGGCCCAGCGCUGGUUCUUUCCUUGCCUUGUAUAGCGAUCGCAUGUGAAAAAACGGACUUGGAGAAUAUAGGU